Molecule: long non-coding RNA, 3717 nt
Filed under: Nicotiana tabacum (common tobacco)
Lineage: Eukaryota; Viridiplantae; Streptophyta; Magnoliopsida; Solanales; Solanaceae
Description: long non-coding RNA (NTAB_LNC013830)
Source: RNAcentral
UUUUUUUUUUUGAAUCUUUGGGAAAAAACUUCUUAAAAAGGUAGAAAAAUAUUUUUUUUUUAAAUUUUGAUUUGACUUGUGGAUUUUCGAAAGAAGGAUUUUUAAGAAAACAUUUCGGAUUUUUGAGUUUCUCUUCUUUUUUUUUUUUCUCUUUUAAUUUAUGAAAGUACUUUUAAAGAAAAACAAUUUCUCAAUUUUUACGGACAUUUACAAAAGAAAGACUUCUAAAGAAGAAAAGAAUUUCUUUUGGAUUUUUGGUUCCGAUUCUUUUUGUUUUUUUUUUUGGAAAAAUACUUCAAAAUGAAGGAAACCCGUAUUUGGAUUUUGAUUGAUUUCUUUUUUAUUUUAUUUUUCGCAAGAAAGACUUCGGAAAGAAAGAAACUACUUUUUUUUUUUAGUUUUAUAAAAACAUUUUUUUUUUUGCAUUUUCUAAUGAAAGAUUUCUAAAGAAGGAACUAAAGGAAAUUAUUUUUGGAUUUUUAAAAAUUGGGGUCGGAACCGAUGAGGUUUGCCUACUUAUCUCACAUCCGGUGAGAAUCAGACCCGCGUAGUUCGGUCAAUUUUGAUGGAACAUGGGAAGCAUGACACUUGAGAUUUUGGGCUCAUUUUGAAAUGACCUUGUUCUUUUCUUUUUCCCUUUUUCAGAAUUUCGGGAGAGUUUCGAAAAUUUUCAAAUACCUACCUCUCACUCUUGUUUUUGAUUUUUGAUUUUUUCCUUUUUUUUCUUUUUGAUUUUCUUUCCAUAUUCUAGAAGCCGAUCAACAUGCAAACUGAAACAAACAGAUGCGCAAGUAGCACGUAAGAUGGAUAAGGAUGAUCUUUUUAAUUUGGGUACACAUGUCCUAGACGGACCCAACUCCUGUGUUGAGUCCCCAAAGUCAGAUGCACGUGAUGCAAACAAGCAUUCCUACUAGGGAUCCGACAUGAUGCUAUGUUAUUCUAGGUUUAAAACCUGGGUGUAUUUGUUCUAGACCUGACUUACCCGAGCGGACAGUUCGCGCCNNNNNNNNNNNNNNNNNNNNNNNNNAAGUGCACACUUCCAGAUGAUUUAGAAGACUCGGGGAGAAGAAGGGUUUUAUAACAGUUUAUAUACAGUUCACACAAUAUCAAAGCAGUAAAAAACAACAUUUAGCACAUUAGGCUUGAACACGUAAAAAUCAGAUAAUAAAUAAAAGUCAACUAUAACAGUUAUUCUAAGCUCGAAUUGUGAACCCUGAACCAGAGAUUCUGGGUUCGAUCCCUAGCAGAGUCGCCAGAGCUGUCACACCUCCUUUUUACUACCCCAAGGGUAUAUGAGAGUUUUUACAAUUAAAGUGACAUAAAUCGAAAUAUGAUCAAUUAAUUUAUCAGAGUCGCCACUUGGAAUAGUUUAUUUGGUGUCCCAAGUCACCGAUUUAUUUUAAAAUCCCAAAUCGAGAAAAUUUCGACUUUACUUUAUAAGUCUGCGAACCAGAAAUUCUAGAUAAGGAAUUAUGUUAACCUAGGAGAAGGUGUUAGGCACUCCCGGGUUCCGUGGUUCUAGCACAGUCGCUUAAACUAUUAAUAAUUGGCCUAUUAUCUGAUUUACUACAUGUUUAAACCUAUUGUGCAUUUUUAAAUUUUAUAACCGCUUUUAAUUAUUUAUGAAAUUAUUCUGGAACAAGUUACGAUUGUCGUACACUUGCCGUUUUGGGACACAACGCAAAUCACGCUACAUGAAAUGCACCCGCAAUUCGCGACAUGUUUAUUUUAUUAAUAAUAUUUGGAGUUGUUAUGAUUGAGUCGCAUAAAAUGCACACCCGAAUUUUGGGAUUAGAUAUCGUGACCAUGCCACGGGAACAAUAUCCAUGGCCACGAUGAUUUAUUAAUCACGCUUAAAGACAGCUACUAUGUGAGAUAUAACUCUAAAACUAAUUUAAGACUUUGUGGGUCCAUAUAUUAUGGGAUUUUGUGGAUGAAGUGUAGGGCCAAAUUAAUUGGAAAUUAAUAAGAGAAUCAGUUUUGUACCAAUUCAACCAACAAAGGCAAGAACUGCAAGAACGACAAUCAUGAGAUGUCACCUACUAAACAGGACACACCUACUGUUGAACUUUUGGGGUACUUUUGAUCUUAAUGUAGAUCUUGUCUAAAUAAAGUGCUUUGAGAUGUCUAUUGUGAUAAGCAUAAUUUCAUUAUGUCUUGCUUCUCAAGAUAAUUUCUUUUUGCUAAUUAGUUUCCUUCAGAAAAACUUAAUGAAUAUGCAAUGUGCAUCCUAUGUCUUCCCCAUUUUGAAUCAUAGCCAAGUCAGUAGAUCUCUCACAUCCCGACAAUUCCAUGUCAGUCUAAGGAGUGAGUCAUUGUUUAGUUUUACGUUAAUAUCUCACUGAAUUUAACAUGUUUUCUUAUUCCACUCUUAAACUAAUUUGAUAUCCCACUUGUGUGUUUUAUGUGUAAAAUACUCGUUUAUCUCACCCCGGGCUGUUUCUUUUCUUUUUUUUGGUCCAAUACAUAUGUACAUUCACGAAGUUGAAGUUUUUACAUAUAAAAAGAAGAAUCAAAGUAAAUGAAUAAUAAGUAAAGGGAUAACAAAAAAGACUAAGAUUUGAACAAUUCCAAUGACUCACGUUAAUUAAUAUGCAACUUGAAUUGAAAUUGUGAAGAAUUGACCACAAAUAGACCUUGCAAAAAUUUUCAGCAGUAAAUAAACCAAAAUGCAACAACUUUUUGCCAUGAUACUACCACAAAAUCUCCAUUAAAAUACCUCUAAAACAGUCAUGGAAUCCCUACAAAUAAAAUAUAAAAAAAAUCCCUACAAAUCCAACAUAAAAACAGCCCUUUAAAAAUCGCCUCUCAAGCCAUGAAUCGCCUCUAAAACUCCAGCAACAUUAUUCAUUAAAAAAAAAAAAAAACCUUCCAGAACACCACCAUUUUAGCUCAAAAUUCCAGCAACCAAUUCUACUACAACAAAAGCUUAAUAGUGCUCAAAAUAAAUUUAUACUUGUCCCCAGAUUUGUGCAUUAGUUCAACACAUAAAAAGUAAUUCAAAGCAAAGUCAAAUCUACAAUCAAUCAUUGGAGAACAUUUUUAAAUACAUGAAUAAACUACAACAACUUUAUAAAAAUAUAACAUGCCAAAACAGUGAUUACAUUACUUUAAAGUUGAAUUGAUACCUUGGCAGUAGUAGCAAGGUCUUAAGAAUAGCAACAUAAAGGCCUAGAAUCAUCUACAACUACGGGCUGAAGAAGCUGCAACAAACAGUAAUAAAUCGCAGAUGGAUCCAUUUUGAAAACCCAGAAAUGUAAGAGAAACUGUAGCUUUGAAACAGCUGCAACUCUUCGAAUUAUUUUGAAUUUAAAAUCCACCCAAAAUUCUACUGUUGUUCCUUCUUCAUUUCAGAGUUUCUUCUUUAUUUAUUUAUUUUGGUUUCGAAAUCUCAGAUGUGGGUGUUUAUCAGAGUAAAAUGAGGGACAGUGAGGGGUUCGAUGUGAGCGAGAGAUGAGGAAGAUAGAGGGGAAACAGGGUUGUUCUUCAGAGAAAUGGAGUUAGAGAGGGGUGUGCCGUUUGCUUUAUUUUUUCAGGGAAGGGGAGCUCUUCUUUUGGGCUUUCUUCCCCGUUUGCGUCCUGCCAUUUAUUGAUGAAAGCGCGGAGGUGUUUUGUUUAAAUGGAGAGCUGAUUUUUAGCCAAGAAUAGGGAGAAGCAGAGAGCUGUUGCGCCAUUUUCAAGCUGUCUAGGGGUCCUUUUUUAUCUGAUGGUUUUCUA